RNAcentral lists this long non-coding RNA (574 nucleotides) under Lynx canadensis (Canada lynx). RNAcentral describes it as "lncRNA (ENSLCNG00005019353.1)". Lineage: Eukaryota; Metazoa; Chordata; Mammalia; Carnivora; Felidae. The record is from RNAcentral.
UAUAUUUGGGGAACUUCAUACUGUGGCCUCACUGGAUACCGCCUAAGUCCCAUAUGCAACCUGAAGCAGAUACUUAGCCAGUUAACACCUGUGGAUUUUUUCAAUCUCAGGAAAGAGGCAGGGGUGUGACUCUUCUCCAGCUAAAGAACUGUUCUUUGGUGUAAAGGAUAGAAUUUCCUGAGGACCCCUGCUGUGUGGGCUGGCUGAAAUAGGUGGCAGUGAGGUUCCUGUAGAAAUAUGUAGAUAGUUGUUCACUUUGAAUUAAGAAAAAAAGACGCAAACUAUUCAUUUGGAUUCAAGGUCCAUCUCCAGUGGUGGCUGUAGUGGCCUUGUAGUGGCAGAUCAUCACCUUCAACAGGUCUGCACUCAGGAACUAUCAUCUUCGCUCAGACUAAGUGCCUCUGUCUUUUCUCUGUAUUGUUGACAGAGGUUCUGUGUUUGGAAAGGGGACUGUGUGACUGCUGAGCUGAUGACUGACUCUUGCCACAAAGUUUAUGUCUGAUCCAGUGAAAGAGUGUUAAGACAUUGACCUGGGACACAUUGAAAACCAAGGCCAAGACUGUAUAGAGCUAUC